CAAGAAACUGAGAAGACGGAAGAGAGUUGGUGUUGUCAGUGUGGUGAGCCUAUGCGGCAACCACAAGGCUGAAGUCUGCUUUGAUCGUUGUUCAAGAUUUGAGCCUUGGCUCCGGUUUUGAUAGCUCUAUAUCAACUUUCAGCGAGUUUUUGUUCUCGGACUUGGGAUCCACAGUCCAAAGUUGAUUGGUGGAUCAAGUGAACUUGGUGCAUCUCCAUUCAAGCUGGAGUACAAUUACCAGCCUGCUUGUUUAGCGCAGUCUCCACAAUCAUACAAGCAAAUGAGCAUCUGUGGUGGCUUUGGGCGCGUGUUUGAGGCUGGUCCGGUAUUUAGAUCAGAAAAAUCAAACACUCACAGGCAUCUGUGUGAGUUUAUUGGGUUGGAUGCAGAAAUGGAGAUUAAGGAGCACUACUUUGAGGCAAGGAAGAUUUGGAGGAAAUAAUUCUUUAGUUUGUCUAUUGAAGCGAUGCUGACCAAGUACUGAUUUUUGUUUUCAGGUUUGUGAUAUCAUAGAUUGCUAAUUGUAGCAAUAUUCAAACACCCAAAUGAAAAUUGUCGGAAGGAACUCGAGACAAUAAAUAGGCAGUAUCCAUUUGAACCUCUGAAGUACCUAGAGAAAACGUUGAAGCUAACGUACGAGGAAGGGAUUAAAAUGCUCAAGGUACUAACAUGUACUUUUAUGUAUGUCUAUGAUAUCAUUAUUGUGGCGUUGUAUACAAUAUGCUCUUUUUUGUUGUUCUCACAGUAUGAUCGAUACUAGAACUUAAUAGCCCAAUUAUAUUGCAUGAAAGGCCUUUGUUGGAAAUGAUAAAACAGC
This is a non-coding RNA of Aegilops tauschii subsp. strangulata, 817 nucleotides long. NCBI's taxonomy places the organism in Eukaryota, Viridiplantae, Streptophyta, Magnoliopsida, Poales, Poaceae. The record is from RefSeq and is a predicted model, not a curated record.